Molecule: long non-coding RNA, 754 nt
Organism: Xenia sp. Carnegie-2017
Lineage: Eukaryota; Metazoa; Cnidaria; Anthozoa; Malacalcyonacea; Xeniidae
Exons: 2
Source: RefSeq, a predicted model, not a curated record
UAAAAUGUAGCUAUGUAUAGCUGUAAAAAAAUAGCAUUUCAAAAUUCAACAGAUCUUUUCAAGGUAUAAAAACAAGCUUAAUUGUUCGUUAAAUUGAAACUUUAUAGCUUAAUAUUAUUAUAUUUGUGUAUAUUUAUGUACUGAAAUUUAAAUUUUCCAUGUAAAUGUAAAAAAGGACAAAGUGGCCCGAAGUAUAAUACUAAAUGAAUUUAAAGUGAAAAUCUAAGACAUGCUUGAAGUCAGAUUUGAAGAAAAAGCUCGCCAUUUGGUUUCCUCGUGCAAACGUCUUCCGCCAACUUUAAUACUUUUCUUAGAACGUCUCAUUAAUAAUAAAAUUUUGAAAUCCUGAACCUGCUCAAUCUGGUGAAUUUCUACAUCAAUACAAACAAUAGUGGUACAGCAUAACUAUAAACAUUUGUGCGUAUAUCUAGUCAGACAUACCACAAUUAACAUUUUAACUAUCAAUUUUGUGAACCUUAGCCGCUAAUAUUAAUUGAAAAUGGAAUGAAAAUAUUGAACAUCGUAGCGAGUACGUUUACUGUAUUUUCGUUGUACACAGAUCGUUUCCAGAAAUUUUUAUCUUCGUUUUAAAGGAGAAAGCGAUAGAGAAUGUGUCAGAUGUUGAAAAUUGUAAAAGGAUUGAGUACAUGUUUCUUAAAUUGCAAAAACUUAAGAACAUUAUUUCCUGUCAUUUGAGGAGAAAAUAGUUAUCGACAAAUAAAAUACAACAGAAAAGUGUUAUUCACCAAUUAAA